UUAGUGGCGGACGGGUGAGUAACGCGUGGGUAACCUGCCCUGUACAGGGGGACAACAGCCGGAAACGGCUGCUAAUACCGCAUAAGCCUGCGGGGCCGCAUGGCCCGGCAGGAAAAGCUGCGGCGGUACAGGAUGGGCCCGCGUCUGAUUAGCCAGUUGGCGGGGUAACGGCCCACCAAAGCAACGAUCAGUAGCCGGCUUGAGAGAGCGAACGGCCACAUUGGGACUGAGACACGGCCCAAACUCCUACGGGAGGCAGCAG
This 262-nucleotide ribosomal RNA is filed under the name uncultured bacterium. RNAcentral describes it as "partial 16S ribosomal RNA". It matches the Rfam family "Bacterial small subunit ribosomal RNA", at positions 92 to 354 of the family's 1533-position model. The record is from RNAcentral.